RNAcentral lists this transfer RNA (72 nucleotides) under Camelus bactrianus (Bactrian camel). It matches the Rfam family "tRNA". From Rfam's summary of the family: Transfer RNA (tRNA) molecules are approximately 80 nucleotides in length. Their secondary structure includes four short double-helical elements and three loops (D, anti-codon, and T loops). RNAcentral also lists the same sequence under 2 other names. Lineage: Eukaryota; Metazoa; Chordata; Mammalia; Artiodactyla; Camelidae. The record is from Rfam by way of RNAcentral.
GAGGGUACAGCUCAGUGGCAGAGGGCAUGUUUAGCGAGCACGAGGUGCUGGGUUCAAUCCCCGGUACCAUCU